GCCAGGCAUGGUGGUGCAUGCCUGUAGUCCCAGCUACUUAGGAGGCUAAGGCUGGAGGAUUGCUUGAGCCAGGAGUUUGAGGCUGCAGUGAGCCAUUUUGCGUCACUGCACUCCAGCCUGGGCAACAGAGCGAGACCCUGACUUAA
This 146-nucleotide small RNA is filed under the name Callithrix jacchus (white-tufted-ear marmoset). RNAcentral's name for it is "Metazoan signal recognition particle RNA (ENSCJAG00000083918.1)". Lineage: Eukaryota; Metazoa; Chordata; Mammalia; Primates; Cebidae. The record is from Rfam by way of RNAcentral.